RNAcentral lists this ribosomal RNA (1062 nucleotides) under Marinomonas profundi. Its description in RNAcentral is "Marinomonas sp. M1K-6 partial 23S ribosomal RNA". It matches the Rfam family "Bacterial large subunit ribosomal RNA", at positions 1760 to 2821 of the family's 2925-position model. The record is from RNAcentral. Lineage: Bacteria; Pseudomonadati; Pseudomonadota; Gammaproteobacteria; Oceanospirillales; Oceanospirillaceae.
CCGUAAGCACCAGUCGGUCGAAGAUACCAGGUGGCUGCGACUGUUUAUUAAAAACACAGCACUCUGCAAACACGAAAGUGGACGUAUAGGGUGUGACGCCUGCCCGGUGCUUGAAGGUUAAUUGAUGGGGUUAGCGCAAGCGAAGCUCUUGAUCGAAGCCCAAGUAAACGGCGGCCGUAACUAUAACGGUCCUAAGGUAGCGAAAUUCCUUGUCGGGUAAGUUCCGACCUGCACGAAUGGCGUAACGAUGGCCACACUGUCUCCACCCGAGACUCAGUGAAAUUGAAAUCGCAGUGAAGAUGCUGUGUAUCCGCGGCUAGACGGAAAGACCCCGUGAACCUUUACUAUAGCUUCACAGUGAACUUUGAACCUACUUGUGUAGGAUAGGUGGGAGGCUUUGAAGCGGUGACGCCAGUUACCGUGGAGCCACUCUUGAAAUACCACCCUGGUAUGUUUGAGGUUCUAACUCAGGUCCGUUAUCCGGAUCGAGGACACUGUGUGGUGGGUAGUUUGACUGGGGCGGUCUCCUCCCAAAGAGUAACGGAGGAGCACGAAGGUGUGCUCAGCAUGGUCGGAAAUCAUGCAUAGAGUGUAAAGGCAAAAGCACGCUUAACUGCGAGACAGACACGUCGAGCAGGUACGAAAGUAGGUCUUAGUGAUCCGGUGGUUCUGUAUGGAAGGGCCAUCGCUCAACGGAUAAAAGGUACUCCGGGGAUAACAGGCUGAUACCGCCCAAGAGUUCACAUCGACGGCGGUGUUUGGCACCUCGAUGUCGGCUCAUCACAUCCUGGGGCUGAAGCCGGUCCCAAGGGUAUGGCUGUUCGCCAUUUAAAGUGGUACGCGAGCUGGGUUUAGAACGUCGUGAGACAGUUCGGUCCCUAUCUGCCGUGGACGUUUGAGAUUUGAGAGGAGCUGCUCCUAGUACGAGAGGACCGGAGUGGACGAACCUCUGGUGUUCCGGUUGUCACGCCAGUGGCAUUGCCGGGUAGCUAUGUUCGGACGGGAUAACCGCUGAAAGCAUCUAAGCGGGAAGCCUCCCUUAAGAUAAGAUCUCACUGGGAC